CCUACGGGUGGCUGCAGUGAGGAAUAUUGGUCAAUGGACGCAAGUCUGAACCAGCCAAGUAGCGUGCAGGAUGACGGCCCUCCGGGUUGUAAACUGCUUUUAGUUGGGAAUAAAAGGGGGCUCGCGAGCCCCGUAUUGUAUGUACCAUCAGAAAAAGGACCGGCUAAUUCCGUGCCAGCAGCCGCGGUAAUACGGAAGGUCCGGGCGUUAUCCGGAUUUAUUGGGUUUAAAGGGAGCGUAGAUGGGUUGUUAAGUCAGUUGUGAAAGUUUGCGGCUCAACCGUAAAAUUGCAAUUGAUACUGGCAGUCUUGAGUACAGUUGAGGUAGGCGGAAUUCGUGGUGUAGCGGUGAAAUGCUUAGAUAUCACGAAGAACUCCGAUUGCGAAGGCAGCUUACUAAACUGCCACUGACAUUGAUGCUCGAAAGUGUGGGUAUCAAACAGGAUUAGAUACCCUAGUAGUC
Molecule: ribosomal RNA, 462 nt
Filed under: uncultured bacterium
Lineage: Bacteria
Description: partial 16S ribosomal RNA
Rfam family: Bacterial small subunit ribosomal RNA
Source: RNAcentral